UGGGGAAUCUUGCGCAAUGGGCGAAAGCCUGACGCAGCGACGCCGCGUGAGUGAUGAAGGCCUUCGGGUUGUAAAGCUCUGUGGAGGGGGAAGAAUAAGGCAUGGCUAACAUCCAUGUCGAUGACGGUACCCCUUUAGCAAGCACCGGCUAACUCUGUGCCAGCAGCCGCGGUAAGACAGAGGGUGCAAACGUUGUUCGGAAUUACUGGGCGUAAAGCGCGUGUAGGCGGCUUGGCAAGUCGGGUGUGAAAGCCCUGGGCUCAACCUAGGAAGUGCACUCGAAACUGCUUCGCUUGAAUGUCGGAGAGGAAAGCGGAAUUCUCGGUGUAGAGGUGAAAUUCGUAGAUAUCGAGAGGAACACCGGUGGCGAAGGCGGCUUUCUGGACGAUUAUUGACGCUGAGACGCGAAAGCGUGGGGAGCAAA
RNAcentral lists this ribosomal RNA (424 nucleotides) under uncultured bacterium. RNAcentral describes it as "bacterial SSU rRNA". It matches the Rfam family "Bacterial small subunit ribosomal RNA", at positions 355 to 772 of the family's 1533-position model. The record is from RNAcentral.